GAGCUUGUAAUGCGAAGAGGUUGAACGUAGCGGAUGGUAGCAAACAUCUGCACGAAGCGAGAUUGCUUAUUCGUGGAUACAGCGCAGGUUCGAAUCCUGUCAAGCUCGA
Molecule: transfer RNA, 109 nt
Filed under: Bacteriophage sp.
Also listed under: 1 other name
Description: tRNA-Tyr
Source: RNAcentral